Molecule: long non-coding RNA, 767 nt
Organism: Meleagris gallopavo (turkey)
Lineage: Eukaryota; Metazoa; Chordata; Aves; Galliformes; Phasianidae
Source: RefSeq, a predicted model, not a curated record
AUGCUCGAACAGACUAAGCUUUCACAUGUCUUUAAAGCUAAGUGAAUUAAGACUAAAUAAGUAUUGUGAUGCAGACCUCCAGGCAUUCUCAGAGUAUGCAUCCACUAUGUUUUUGCCUUUGUGCAAGUGCAGUGAGCUGGGACAUUCAGGCACUCCUUGACCUUGUUCCCUGAAUAUUAGACUGACCUGAGAGGCAUCAGAACUGUACAAUCUGGGAGUACUGGAACUGUAUGGUUGGGUGGAAGUUUCAGGGUUGCCUCACUUGGAUUGCAGCCAGAAUGGAAAGUUUUCUGACUCAAUUAGCUCACAGUCCUAUAAAUAAUGGUCCUAAGCAAAGAGACCUUUCAGCUCUCAGGAUGGCAGCAGGCUGUGAUCCUUGAUCUUACCUGGGCUGGAACCAUUAUCUGGCAUCUAGAGAUUCAUCGCUGACAGACAUCAACAAAGCAGAGCCCUCUUUGGUGUACACCCUGAUCAUCCACUAAGAACUGGCAAAAGGGAAGGUUUAACAACUACAAGAACAGUCACAAAAACAAAGGGAAGAAUUGCAAGACCUGAAGUAAGACUGCAUAGUGGUCAGAAGACAUUAGAUCUGCCCGUUCAAGCAAAAGCUUAUCAGUAAACAAAGAUAUAUCAGAUGCUGCAGAGAAUCAAGAAGGAUGGAGAUUAUUGAUGGUCGGAAGUCCUACUUGGAUGGUCUUCUACAACAACGGAAGCACUAAACAUAAUGCUGUAUCUCACUGUGAUUUUACUGCUUUUGGUUAUAUUUU